GACGAACCGUGCGAACGUUGUUCGGAAUCACUGGGCUUAAAGGGCGCGUAGGCGGCGCAACAAGUCACUUGUGAAAUCUCCGGGCUUAACCCGGAGCGGCCAAGUGAUACUGUCGUGCUAGAGUGCGGAAGGGGCUACUGGAAUUCUCGGUGUAGCGGUGAAAUGCGUAGAUAUCGAGAGGAACACCUGCGGCGAAGGCGGGUAGCUGGGCCGACACUGACGCUGAGGCGCGAAAGCCAGGGGAGCGAACGGG
RNAcentral lists this ribosomal RNA (253 nucleotides) under uncultured bacterium. RNAcentral describes it as "partial 16S ribosomal RNA". It matches the Rfam family "Bacterial small subunit ribosomal RNA", at positions 524 to 776 of the family's 1533-position model. The record is from RNAcentral.